RNAcentral lists this ribosomal RNA (468 nucleotides) under uncultured bacterium. RNAcentral describes it as "partial 16S ribosomal RNA". It matches the Rfam family "Bacterial small subunit ribosomal RNA", at positions 28 to 507 of the family's 1533-position model. The record is from RNAcentral.
GACGAACGCUGGCGGCGUGCUUAACACAUGCAAGUCGAACGGAAAGGCCCUGCUUUUGUGGGGUGCUCGAGUGGCGAACGGGUGAGUAACACGUGAGUAACCUGCCCUUGACUUUGGGAUAACUUCAGGAAACUGGGUCUAUUACCGGAUAGGAGCUCCUGCUCCAUGUUGGGGGUUGGAAAGUUUCGGCGGUUGGGGCUGGACUCGCGGCUUAUCAGCUUGUUGGUGGGGUAGUGGCUUACCAGGGCUUUGACGGGUAGCCGGCCUGAGAGGGUGACCAGCCACAUUGGGACUGAGAUACGGCCCAGACUCCUACGGGAGGCAGCAGUGGGGAAUAUUGCACAAUGGGCGGAAGCCUGAUGCAGCAACGCCGCGUGCGGGAUGACGGCCUUCGGGUUGUAAACCGCUUUCGCCUGUGACGAAGCGUGAGUGACGGUAAUGGGUAAAGAAGCACCGGCUAACUACGUG